UCCUACGGGAGGCAGCAGUGAGGAAUAUUGGUCAAUGGGCGGAAGCCUGAACCAGCCAAGUCGCGUGAGGGAAUAAGGCCCUACGGGUCGUAAACCUCUUUUGCCGGGGAGCAAGGGCGGGGACGUGUCCCGGCCCGGAGAGUACCCGGAGAAAAAGCAUCGGCUAACUACGUGCCAGCAGCCGCGGUAAUACGUAGGUGGCAAGCGUUAUCCGGAUUUAUUGGGCGUAAAGGGAACGCAGGCGGUCUUUUAAGUCUGAUGUGAAAGCCUUCGGCUUAACCGGAGUAGUGCAUUGGACACUGGGG
RNAcentral lists this ribosomal RNA (305 nucleotides) under uncultured bacterium. Its description in RNAcentral is "bacterial SSU rRNA". It matches the Rfam family "Bacterial small subunit ribosomal RNA", at positions 337 to 638 of the family's 1533-position model. The record is from RNAcentral.